CAAAAACAUCGCCUCCUGAUCAAUAUAAGAGGUCCAGCCUGCCCAGUGACUCUGUUUAACGGCCGCGGUAUCCUAACCGUGCGAAGGUAGCGUAAUCACUUGUUCUUUAAAUGAGGACUAGUAUGAAUGGCACCACGAGGGUUAUACUGUCUCCUUUUCCAAAUCAGUGAAACUAAUCUCCCCGUGAAGAAGCGGGAAUAAAAAUAUAAGACGAGAAGACCCUAUGGAGCUUAAAACUUUCAACAAUUAUAUUUUCUUCAUAAACCUAAAUGGUAAUUAAAUUAAUCUUUAUAAUAUGUUUGUUAGUUUUCGGUUGGGGUGACCGCGGAGUAAAACUUAUCCUCCACAUUGAAUUAAAUAUUCUUCUUAGCAAAAAACUACAAUUUUAUGCAUCAAAAAAUUGACAUUAUUGACCCAAUAUUUUGAUCAACGAACCAAGUUACCCUAGGGAUAACAGCGCAAUCCAUCUCAAGAGCUCAUAUCGACGGAUGGGUUUACGACCUCGAUGUUGGAUCAGGAUAUCCUAGUGGUGCAGCCGCUACUAAAGGUUCGUUUGUUCAACGAUUAAAAU
RNAcentral lists this ribosomal RNA (571 nucleotides) under Callimedusa tomopterna group sp. ABGD cluster 28. RNAcentral describes it as "partial large subunit ribosomal RNA". It matches the Rfam family "Bacterial large subunit ribosomal RNA", at positions 1808 to 2594 of the family's 2925-position model. Lineage: Eukaryota; Metazoa; Chordata; Amphibia; Anura; Hylidae. The record is from RNAcentral.